This 123-nucleotide microRNA precursor is filed under the name Nannospalax galili (Upper Galilee mountains blind mole rat). Its description in RNAcentral is "miRNA (ENSNGAG00000003398.1)". Lineage: Eukaryota; Metazoa; Chordata; Mammalia; Rodentia; Spalacidae. The record is from RNAcentral.
AAAAAAGAAAUCUAAAUUUUUAUUCAGAGGCUGGAAUGUAACUCAGUGGUAGAGCCUUUGUCUAGUGUGUACAAGACCUGGGGUUCAAUCCCUGCACUAUAAGAAAUAAAAAAGUAUAUUUUU